GUGGGGAAUCUUGCGCAAUGGGCGAAAGCCUGACGCAGCCAUGCCGCGUGAAUGAUGAAGGUCUUAGGAUUGUAAAAUUCUUUCACCGGGGACGAUAAUGACGGUACCCGGAGAAGAAGCCCCGGCUAACUUCGUGCCAGCAGCCGCGGUAAUACGAAGGGGGCUAGCGUUGCUCGGAAUUACUGGGCGUAAAGGGCGCGUAGGCGGACAGUUUAGUCAGAGGUGAAAGCCCAGGGCUCAACCUUGGAAUUGCCUUUGAUACUGGCUGUCUUGAGUACGGGAGAGGUGAGUGGAACUCCGCGUGUAGAGGUGAAAUUCGUAGAUAUUCGGAAGAACACCAGUGGCGAAGGCGACUCACUGGCCCGUUACUGACGCUGAGGCGCGAAAGCGUGGGGAGCAAACAGGAUUAGAUACCCCAGUAGUCC
RNAcentral lists this ribosomal RNA (425 nucleotides) under uncultured bacterium. Its description in RNAcentral is "partial 16S ribosomal RNA". It matches the Rfam family "Bacterial small subunit ribosomal RNA", at positions 354 to 796 of the family's 1533-position model. The record is from RNAcentral.